CCAGACUCCUACGGGAGGCAGCAGUGAGGAAUAUUGGUCAAUGGCCGCAGGGCUGAACCAGCCAAGUCGCGUGAGGGAUGACGGUCCUAUGGAUUGUAAACCUCUUUUGUCAGGGAGCAAAGGGCGCCACGUGUGGCGUUUUGCGAGUACCCGAAGAAAAAGCAUCGGCUAACUCCGUGCCAGCAGCCGCGGUAAUACGGAGGAUGCGAGCGUUAUCCGGAUUUAUUGGGUUUAAAGGGUGCGCAGGCGGAAUAUCAAGUCAGCGGUAAAAAUUCGGGGCUCAACCCCGUCGUGCCGUUGAAACUGAUGUUCUUGAGUGGGCGAGAAGUAUGCGGAAUGCGUGGUGUAGCGGUGAAAUGCAUAGAUAUCACGCAGAACUCCGAUUGCGAAGGCAGCAUACCGGCGCCCAACUGACGCUGAAGCACGAAAGCGUGGGUAUCGAACAGGAUUAGAUACCCCGGUAAUA
RNAcentral lists this ribosomal RNA (466 nucleotides) under uncultured bacterium. RNAcentral describes it as "bacterial SSU rRNA". It matches the Rfam family "Bacterial small subunit ribosomal RNA", at positions 331 to 795 of the family's 1533-position model. The record is from RNAcentral.